GGAAGAAAGCAGACAGAGAGGAAAGAGACCGUAGUAGCCCAAAGCGCUGCCCACAGAAUAGAAGCCAUAGUGGGCAGCAGGAGGAAAGUGGCCACCUAAAAUGAGAUGGUUAGUGCAGGACAGAAAGUCCCAGAAGCCAGGCACAGAAAGCUUAAGGAAAGGAGAGGGGAAACGAUAUAAUUCCUUUUUGUCUAAAACUGGACCUAUUUAAUUUGUUUUUAAAUAAAAUAAAAACUGCUGCGGUGAGGGUAGGGAAGAAGUAAUCUUCUUUAUGGGGAAGGGAGUGGGGAGCAGGGAGUGGAGUUUUUGUGCAGAGAACAGUAAUCAAUAUUCAAAAUCUUACUUCUUAAUACACCGAUGGAUUGAAUUCAGGCUUUAGCAUAAUUUAAUUAAAUGGACUAUUGUUUUUCUUUCUCACUGGUUGUAGUGAGAGCGCUACAAGUCUGAGGUGAGCAGGAUUAUGUACUAAUUGAAGUAGAUCUAUCUGCCUCAAAGCCAACGAGGACUCUGCAAACAGACUGAGAAAGCUUUUGUAUCAGUUUCAUAUUCAGCAGGGUGUGGGUGCACAGAAGGAUGCACGUUACCUGCUUGGUUUCCAGUUUCUAGAAAACGGGGCAACACGUUGGGUAUUGUGUCACCACAAAGUGAGGGGUAGGAGAGAAAGGCGAGGAACACUGCAGAGACGUGACCCUUCAUGGUGAAGGACCU
This 708-nucleotide long non-coding RNA is filed under the name Ailuropoda melanoleuca (giant panda). Its description in RNAcentral is "lncRNA (ENSAMEG00000030869.1)". Lineage: Eukaryota; Metazoa; Chordata; Mammalia; Carnivora; Ursidae. The record is from RNAcentral.